Molecule: non-coding RNA, 1893 nt
Organism: Macaca mulatta (Rhesus monkey)
Lineage: Eukaryota; Metazoa; Chordata; Mammalia; Primates; Cercopithecidae
Source: RefSeq, a predicted model, not a curated record
CUGUGAUGGUGCCAUUGCACUCCAGCCUGGGCAACAAGAGUGAAACUCCAUCUCAAAUAAUAAUAAUUAUAAUGGGGCAGGGAAAUGUACUUGGGGGAAGCUUGCAGUUGUCUAGUGCUUUCUGCACCUGGGUCGAUGGGUCUGUAAAGUUUUGGGUAUGGAGUAUCAGGAAACCCAUUGCUACCAUAUAUUAGCCCACAAUCUUCAAAAUCAACUUUAUUGGUAAUAAAGGCAUUACUUGAUUCUAUCUGCUUGCUUUUUUGUUUUGUCUCAGUUUAUUCUGAAUUUGGAGAAGGUAUUGAGCUGCUUCAAACACCAGCAUAGCAGCCAGAGACAGGCAUUCUUGGAAGAGAAAAUGGGCCCAGGAGACAGCAGUGGUGGAGCAGUUUUUCAUGGCCACACAGCUCGAAGUCUGCAGAUUUGGGUACCCCACCUGGGAAAAUUGGAUGACUGAAUAAUCUCAAGAUAUGACAGCUGGCUUUCCCCAGAGCAAGCGAUUGAAGAGAGAGCAAGGUAGGACUUACUACUUUUAUUAUGACUUAGAUUCAAAAGUCAGACAUUUGACAAUUUUGCUAGAUUACAUAGGUCAGGUCAGCUUUAUUCAGUGGGGGAGGAGGCCAUCUGGAGACCUUACCAUCAGAAAGUAAAAAUCACUGGUGGCCAUUGCGAAGGCUGAUCCCCAGAUCUUCUAGAACAAACUGGAGAGAGUCAAGCUUUCUGCAGCAGAGAGCACUGGAGGUGAGUCUGGCAGACUGAGUUUAUAAAGCAAAGUAGGGCAGAAGAAUGUUGCAAACAAAGGCAUCAUCACAUGCAAAGCCAUGGGAAAGUGAAAGAGCAAUGAGAAGUAGUGGGGUAUCACUCUGUUGUAGGAUUUGGAGUUUAGAGAUAGGAAGUUGCUGCUGGAUGAAUUCAGUGAGAAAUAGUGUUGUAAGGCUGGAUAAAUCACCAAAGGUAAAGUCAUAAAGAACCUUGCUUGGCAUUUUUCUUUUUACAGGAUAAGGGCAAUCAUAGACAGACUGUAAUUAUUCUUAGUACCUGCAUCUCAAAAGGAAGGCAUCCAAAUCCAGUGCACUUUUUGCAGUGUUAAUUUCCAAUUCUUCUUUGUGGAGUCAAUCACUUUCUGUAUGCAUUUCCUGGCUUCUUCUCUUCUCUUUCUUCAGUUCCUUUCUCCUUAAACACAUUUGAAGCAUAAGGGCAUGGCCAGUGUGAACUGAGAGGCUAAUGUUCCACGUUUCCCCAGUCAUGAUGGCAAAUGCCCUGUGUGGACCUGCUGGCUUGCUGUGGGUGUUGUAGGGACUCUGGCCAGAGACACACGGAAUGAUAUCAGCUUCAGUCAGUGACAGCACUUGAGUCAAGGGACAUCAUUUUGAAAGGACAUUUUAUUCAUGUGUCAGCAUGGCAGAUCAUCUGGGGAUGCUGUCUUUUCAGCUGUCCUCAUAAACAAGGAAAAUAAUGCUGUCAAUAUUAGCAUUUUCAAAGGUAAUGGACAGCAGUGUAUCUGUCUACAUAUCUCAAGAUAUAUAUACACACACACACAUAUAUAUGUACACACACACACACAUAUAUCAAUCAGUUAGGCCUGGGACACUGGAUUAGGAAACAUUAUCUGUCUCUUUCAGGAAUGAAAGCAAUCCAUUAAAGUCAAUUUCCAAUUUUCUAUAGAAGGAGUAGGAAUAAGACAGAAAAUAAAAAUCCUUAUAUAAUCAUCCAACCUUAUUUUUAUUACUAUUGUCAUAUUCUUUUCUGGAAACACCUUAGAGGUGUUAGUAAGUCUGCUUGCAAGUAACAAAUUGCCUAAUUUUAGUCCCACUAACUCAUUCAAUUGCCUUGUCAAUUUACUUUCUCUCUCUCUUUUUUUUUUUUUUUUUGAGACGGAGUUUUGCCCUUGUCUUC